Oryzias latipes (Japanese medaka) is the source of this 46-nucleotide non-coding RNA. Lineage: Eukaryota; Metazoa; Chordata; Actinopteri; Beloniformes; Adrianichthyidae. The record is from Rfam.
ACAAAGGCCCUUUUCAGGGCCACCCACUCCUUCAUUUGAGAGCUCU